RNAcentral lists this ribosomal RNA (465 nucleotides) under uncultured Klebsiella sp. RNAcentral's name for it is "bacterial SSU rRNA". It matches the Rfam family "Bacterial small subunit ribosomal RNA", at positions 338 to 795 of the family's 1533-position model. Lineage: Bacteria; Pseudomonadati; Pseudomonadota; Gammaproteobacteria; Enterobacterales; Enterobacteriaceae. The record is from RNAcentral.
CCUACGGGUGGCAGCAGUGGGGAAUAUUGCACAAUGGGCGCAAGCCUGAUGCAGCCAUGCCGCGUGUGUGAAGAAGGCCUUCGGGUUGUAAAGCGCUUUCAGCGGGGAGGAAGGCGGUGAGGUUAAUAACCUCAUCGAUUGACGUUACCCGCAGAAGAAGCACCGGCUAACUCCGUGCCAGCAGCCGCGGUAAUACGGAGGGUGCAAGCGUUAAUCGGAAUUACUGGGCGUAAAGCGCACGCAGGCGGUCUGUCAAGUCGAAUGUGAAAUCCCCGGGCUCAACCUGGGAACUGCAUUCGAAACUGGCAGGCUAGAGUCUUGUAGAGGGGGGUAGAAUUCCAGGUGUAGCGGUGAAAUGCGUAGAGAUCUGGAGGAAUACCGGUGGCGAAGGCGGCCCCCUGGACAAAGACUGACGCUCAGGUGCGAAAGCGUGGGGAGCAAACAGGAUUAGAUACCCGUGUAGUC